Molecule: ribosomal RNA, 263 nt
Filed under: uncultured bacterium
Lineage: Bacteria
Description: partial 16S ribosomal RNA
Rfam family: Bacterial small subunit ribosomal RNA
Source: RNAcentral
UACGUAGGUGGCGAGCGUUGUCCGGAAUUACUGGGUGUAAAGGGUGCGUAGGCGGGGAUGCAAGUCAGAUGUGAAAUCUAUCGGCUUAACUGGUAAACUGCAUUUGAAACUGCAUUUCUUGAGUGGUGGAGAGGUAAGCGGAAUUCCUAGUGUAGCGGUGAAAUGCGUAGAUAUUAGGAGGAACACCAGUGGCGAAGGCGGCUUACUGGACACUAACUGACGCUGAGGCACGAAAGCAUGGGGAGCAAACAGGAUUAGAUACC